ACCAUGCAAGUCGAACGAUGAACCUCGCUUGCGGGGGGAUUAGUGGCGAACGGGUGAGUAACACGUGAGUAACCUGCCCUUAACUCUGGGAUAAGCCUUGGAAACGGGGUCUAAUACUGGAUAUUGACUUUACCUCGCAUGGGGUUUGGUUGAAAGAUUUAUUGGUUUUGGAUGGACUCGCGGCCUAUCAGCUUGUUGGUGAGGUAAUGGCUCACCAAGGCGACGACGGGUAGCCGGCCUGAGAGGGUGACCGGCCACACUGGGACUGAGACACGGCCCAGACUCCUACGGGAGGCAGCAGUGGGGAAUAUUGCACAAUGGGCGAAAGCCUGAUGCAGCGACGCCGCGUGAGGGAUGACGGCCUUCGGGUUGUAAACCUCUUUCAGUAGGGAACAAGGCCAGCAUUUUUGUUGGUUGAGGGUACUUGCAGAAGAAGCGCCGGCUAACUACGUGCCAGCAGCCGCGGUAAUACGUAGGGCGCAAGCGUUAUCCGGAAUUAUUGGGCGUAAAGAGCUCGUAGGCGGUUUGUCGCGUCUGCCGUGAAAGUCCGGGGCUCAACUCCGGAUCUGCGGUGGGUACGGGCAGACUAGAGUGAUGUAGGGGAGACUGGAAUUCCUGGUGUAGCGGUGAAAUGCGCAGAUAUCAGGAGGAACACCGAUGGCGAAGGCAGGUCUCUGGGCAUUAACUGACGCUGAGGAGCGAAAGCAUGGGGAGCGAACAGGAUUAGAUACCCUGGUAGUCCAUGCCGUAAACGUUGGGCACUAGGUGUGGGGGACAUUCCACGUUUUCCGCGCCGUAGCUAACGCAUUAAGUGCCCCGCCUGGGGAGUACGGCCGCAAGGCUAAAACUCAAAGGAAUUGACGGGGGCCCGCACAAGCGGCGGAGCAUGCGGAUUAAUUCGAUGCAACGCGAAGAACCUUACCAAGGCUUGACAUGAACUGGAAAUACCUGGAAACAGGUGCCCCGCUUGCGGUCGGUUUACAGGUGGUGCAUGGUUGUCGUCAGCUCGUGUCGUGAGAUGUUGGGUUAAGUCCCGCAACGAGCGCAACCCUCGUUCUAUGUUGCCAGCACGUUAUGGUGGGGACUCAUAGGAGACUGCCGGGGUCAACUCGGAGGAAGGUGAGGACGACGUCAAAUCAUCAUGCCCCUUAUGUCUUGGGCUUCACGCAUGCUACAAUGGCCGGUACAAUGGGUUGCGAUACUGUGAGGUGGAGCUAAUCCCAAAAAGCCGGUCUCAGUUCGGAUUGGGGUCUGCAACUCGACCCCAUGAAGUCGGAGUCGCUAGUAAUCGCAGAUCAGGCAACGCUGCGGUGAAUACGUUCCCGGGC
RNAcentral lists this ribosomal RNA (1328 nucleotides) under Arthrobacter sp. Its description in RNAcentral is "bacterial SSU rRNA". It matches the Rfam family "Bacterial small subunit ribosomal RNA", at positions 53 to 1379 of the family's 1533-position model. Lineage: Bacteria; Bacillati; Actinomycetota; Actinomycetes; Micrococcales; Micrococcaceae. The record is from RNAcentral.